UGGGGAGUGGGUGGGUAUGGUGGUGGGGUUGAGGUGGCGUUUUCUGGAGUAUGCCUUCUGGGCUCCAUUGGGGAGGUGUUUUUUUGCUCUGUCUGUUGCAUCUGAAUUUGAAAGAAGCCCAGGAAGGUGUUGACAACAGACACAGUAAGAAGAUGCAAGAAUGGUUGAAGAAGACAGUAGUGGCGGAAUUCAUGGUGUGUUUGAGAGAGAAAAUGGAGAUGAGUGUGGCUAUGGCUAUGGGUGGUUUGAUUGGGUGGAGAGAGAUAGAGAGAGCAGAUGAAGCAAAAUCAGAAUCGGAAGUGUUGAUGCCAGGGGAAUGAAAAUAGAAGAUGAGGGGAAAGAAGAAGAACCCUAAUUUUAUUGGGAAUUUGGGGGAAUUAAGGGUUAAUUUGUUUUUGUUAAAUAAAUUAGGUUUAGUUUUGUUCAUUGAUUUUACUUUUUUAAUUUAAUUUUAUUUUUUAUGUGUAAUUUAUUUUUUUUUUUAUUUUUUAAAUCCACAUCAGCGUGUUUAUUCCAGUCAGCUAGCCAAUUCAUCACUCGCCGGAGCUCCGGGCUCCGGCGAGGACCUGCUCCAGACUUAUUGCAAACGAGAGAACUCAGAUUUGCAAAUUUUCCGGGGAGGGACUAAUUUCAGACGGCGAGACAAAGACAAGGACCAAGUAGACGAUUAACCCUUUUUUAAAUUGCUAUUUUAUACUCCACAUUGAUUGAUUGUAGAGCGGUGAUAAAUUAAGUAUUCCCCAAGAGAUUCGUGACAUAAUGAAUAAGCAAUACUUCUUUAAGGUUGAGGCUAAGGAGGACUCUAGAGGUAGGUUUGAGACUACAUACACGGUCAAAAAAAUUUGCAAGGAUUCAGACAUUAUUAUGAAGUUUAUUCAUGAUGUAAUUAGUACAGCCAUUUCACUCUAAAUUCGACUUAAAAGUUUUUAAAUAUAUAAAUACACACAACCUCACGUUUUUAUUGCGAUACUAUUUUUAACACGCAGGAUGCUAGUGGUUCUGAUAUUUCAGUUUCAAAAAUGAAAUCCCUUACUGAGACCCCAGAUAGUGGUACUGCUCUCUAUAAGUCAAAAGCGAGCUAAUCACUCCAACCUCCCUACCACAAAUCACUGCAUUCGAGGGCAUGUCAAGUGGGAUCAAGAGUCAGACCCUAGAUAGUGGUACCGUUGUCAAUCAGUCAAAGGCUGAGUUAAUUUCUCCGACCUCCCUCCCACAAAUCACUGGUGAUAAUGCAGAAAAUGUUCAAAAAGAAGAUAUGCCACCUAAGGAAGGAUCAAAUUCCCAUAAAGGCAGACUUGAGAAUGUUGGUAAUGCCGUCAACAUUACUGAUUCACAAUCCAACACUAAAGGUGCAAACACACUAAACAAUGUUAUAGAUGUUGACAGCAUCACACCUUCAAAAUGUGGAUCAGAGGAUGAUUCCGUACAAGAAAAUUCUGCAAGUACCAAUGCAAAACUUUUGAAGCGGAUCAAAUUAGAGAAGAUGUAGCUGUUUUCCAUAAGAUUCCUUUGAUAUCGCAGAAAAUAAAGUAUCUUUUGUGCUACGACUAUCCUUUUAUGUCUCUAUCCACUAGACAAUUUGUUUUCUUUCGUAUAUUGACCUCGGUGGUCAAUUUGCAUUACUUCUGACAGUUUUAUUUAUUUGGU
Molecule: RNA transcript, 1647 nt
Organism: Lotus japonicus
Lineage: Eukaryota; Viridiplantae; Streptophyta; Magnoliopsida; Fabales; Fabaceae
Exons: 3
Source: RefSeq, a predicted model, not a curated record